Molecule: long non-coding RNA, 3191 nt
Filed under: Mytilus galloprovincialis (Mediterranean mussel)
Lineage: Eukaryota; Metazoa; Mollusca; Bivalvia; Mytilida; Mytilidae
Source: RNAcentral
AGAUUUUUAGCGCUUCAUCACCUCAGAAAAUUUCGGGGAUUUCCAAUAUUAGAUUUUGUCUUGUGUUGCAAAAGAUGCUGGAAAUGGGACCAUGAGAAUAGUAUGAGUAAACGCAAACUUUCACAAGGGUAUGCAAAUUCAAUGAUGUAUUGAAUGGAUCUACAAUGUAUCAUCAUUCAAUCGCGAUUUCUCAAGUCUGUAAACUAAUAUAAAUCCUCCUCUAUCUAUCAUCAUGUCUUUACUUAUGUAUAAUUUUAAACACCUUACUAGGUCACUGAUCUUCAGUAGAAUCAUACCUUAUUUCGUCCUAUGCUGCUAUCUAAUUUAUGCAUGACCCCAUGUAUGAUAUAGCAUUAAAAAAACAAGAAACUGAAUAUCCCUGAAAAUAAUAUAUGAGGGGGGAUAGGAGGGGUCCUGAUCCCGAAAUCCCGGACUUAAAAUAACGAAUUCCCGAGGUCCCGAAUUUAAAUACAGUAAAUCCUGAUGUCCCAAAAUCCGAAAAAAACGAUUCCCGUAUCCCGAAAAGGUCAAUCCCAAAAUCCCAAGCUUAAAAACACCCGAUCCCGGAGUCCCGAUAAAGGUCCUAUCCCCCCUCAUAUAUCCUACCAUAGUCUAAAAUCGUUCAUCUUGUCAGUUCGUUAGGUAUUUGUGUUUGAACUUAACACACGGGGAAACUCCGCAUUGACGUCACUACACUACUUCCGGCGUAGAAAAACAGUGCAGAAUACGUUUUUUCUGCACUUUUGAAUAAAAAAAACAUUUCUUACGGUAAGUUUUCAUCGUUGUUCUCAAUUAUUGCUAAAAAAUGCCAAUUUUCUAAUGCCCAUUUCAAUCCCGACUUCCGAAUGUCUAAAAACAUUCUAGAACUUCACAAAAUCCCAUUUCCAGCCUCCAUUGCUUUGUGUACAUUCCAUUCAGCGUCAUCAAUCUUGUGGCAGGCAAUACAGGUCAAGUAAAUCGUAUUUUUAGGAAUUUUAAAACGACAUGCUCCUUACGUCUUUCGUGAUUUUCCCGCGAAAAAAGCCCAACCAAAAUGAAAGGAAAACUAUAUGAAAAAACGAUGUCCAUGCCAUAAUUUUGUACAGGAAUAUAGAGUAGGUUAAAAUAAAAAACAAUUUACAUUUAUUUUUCAUAGAAUUUUUUUUUAUCCAUUAUAAAAAGAUCGAUAUUCUGACCAUCAUGACUGUAGGUAAAUAUUCAUACAAAAUUCCAUUGAUGUCAAAAGGGAUGGCAAAAAAGAGUUUCCCUGUUGAAUAAACCCAAAAUUAUUGCAAACUAUUUUGAAGCAAUAUCCCACAAAGAAAUAACGUAAUUGCCGUAGACUGAAAAAUCCCCUAAUUGACAGUAGAGCAAUUUGAUUGGGUAUAAGGAAUUGACAUCACGUGAUUUUGACGCCAUUGAAAUUUGAAUGUAAACAAACAAGGUCAGAAGGUUCAGUAUGGGAUCACAUCGUACAUUUAGUUACUUGGACUACAAAAUGUUUGCUUACAUACAUGUACAUUUACAUGUACAUGAUGAUGAAUUCUUCGAAACAGUUCUAAAUUCUUUACCUUGAAUGAUUUCAUUAAAUUGUUAUAUGUAUUUCUAUUCCAAGCUAUAAUGUAUUAACAUUCUGUACAUGUAUUUCUAUUCUAGGUUACCCUGUUUAAUGGUAACCAUUCUGUAACAUAUAUUUCUAUUCUAGGCUACAGUGUAUUACCAAGUUUUUCAAGUUGUCAACAGAUUUAGACAGUAAGUAUAAAAUAUUUACUGUAAAGUUUGAAAUUGUGGCUUCUAUAUAUGUUUUCAUGUACAUUUUGAGCUACAUGGAUUAGAUGACUUUCAUUGGUCAUGGUGGUUAUAUAUAAUUAUAAUUUAUUUAUUUUAUAAUGUUGAAGUUUACAUUUAAGAAAUAUACAGAUAUUCACUUACAUUUCAAAGGCUCUUCUAUAUUUACAAUCCUUGAAUAAACCAGAUUCUAAAUUCCCUACUAUACAAUCCUUGAGUAAACAUGAUUCUAAAGGCCCAACUAUACAAUCCUUGAGUAAAUGUGAUUCUAAAGGCCCUACUAUACAAUCCUUGAGUAAACGUGAUUCUAAAGGCCCCACUAUACAAUCCUUGAGUAAACGUGAUUCUAAAGGCCCUACUAUACAUUAUACAAUCCAUGAGUAAACGUGAUUCUAAAGGCCCUACUAUACAAUCCAUGAGUAAUGGAGGGCUGGAGGUAGGUUUAUCUUCGAUUUGUUAUGCCCCGGCUGUAGCGGAGGGAGCAUUAAGUUUUACCCUUGUCCGUCUGUACGUCCACAAGUCGGUUUCUGUUCUCUCUAAAUUUAGUUUGCCUCAAUCAAAUGUAAUGAAACUUAUACACAAUGUUUAAGAAUAAGCCAUAUGUAUCUUUUCUUUUUUCACUUAUGAGUUUGUGAGCACCGUUCCUUUUUGAAUCUUGUGUUAAUGACUUACCCUGCUGCUUUUGUGCAUAAGUCAUAAAGAGAAACACUAUUCAUGCUAUUUGGGAUAAGCAUGUAUAAUAUUUGUAGCUGGAUCUAAUUGACCACCCCUUGAUGACAUCUGCAUUGUGAUGACACUACACACAUAAUUUAGUAACUUUGUAGUGUAAUAAUAUCUAAAUUAUUUAGGAGGGCUGCCUUUCAGCUAUAUUAUAUAUAUGAUCAUAUGUUAUUGAAAGUUAUGAUAAAUGCAGGGUAUCUGAUUUCAUUUUAAAACAGCUCAUCUUAAUGUAAAUAAUUUUAGCUUUUCUUUUCUUUGGAAAUCAUAUUUGGUGUGCAUAUUGUUCUAAUUGUUGUUUGUUUAAUUAACAAAUUAUAAAACUACAAAAUUAGAUCAAGUACAUAGUCAACUUCCUUACAUUCAUGACAUUUACUUCAUGUAGAUUUAAGCAUUUUGGACUUUUUAAAAUAUUAAUACUUGCGUACAAAGUUUGUGAGAUUUUAAAACACUUUGAUUUCAUAUAAGUUGGCAUUAUUGAUCUUAUAAUUUGGAUCAAUGCAGAUAGUAGAUAAUUUGCGUACAAAAUUUGUUUGAUUUGAAAAACACGUUAUUAUUUUCAAUUAUAUAUAUUUAACUUAUAUUUUGGAUUGACAAUGAUUGAUGCAGAUAUAUUUAAUUAACAGAAGAAAUACAGACAGAUAAGCAGUGUUUGUUUUCUUGGAUUUUGUAGGGAAUUCUCCAGCCAAUGAGAUCUUGAGUGGUAG